GGUGGUGUGAGAAGCAGAAAAGGCCUUGACUCUGGAUAAGCACUGCUCAGCAGUAACUAAAACAUCCCUGAGUUAUCAACACCGUCUCCAGCACAAAUCCAAAACAUAGCCCCAUACUAGCUACUACGAAGGAAAUUAACUCUACACCAACCAAACCCCGCACAUAGAGAAAGGAAACAAAGGAGCCGUUCAAGUUUGUAGAAGGAAAGGUAGAGCCCUACUUGUGCCACAAGACGCACAGGGUGUGCAUGUUUGACAAUCCUCUAUGCUGCAGUGGUGCAUCGCCAAAGCCAGUGCUCAAUUCUGUGGCGCCUUGAUCUCCCAAACCCUGAGCUCAAGGUCCUGCUCCUCAUGGGCCAGUGCGUGGGAGCCAUGAAAGCAGUGGUUUUCACACUGCUCCGUCUUCCCUCCAUCUUCAUUGCUUUACCUAGGGUCAAUUAAAUAUGUAUCUUUCAUGGUUCCCAACUCCUGCCUCCUCUCUCCCCAGCAGGCUGUUCAUAAUCAUUGCUGUUAAUUUGCUUCUCCUUCCUCUGCUGCACACAGCCACGCCCACACACAGCUCUUUUCACUUUUCUUUCUCUUCAAUAAAUCACUUUUCUUUCUCUUGAUUAAAUUUCAUAAUUCUUACCUAGCCUGUCUCCAUAAGCUUCGUUCAUUUACUCUUCCAGCAACUAUAUCCACCCUUUUUACUACCUUACCCCAAGCUGGUCUACCCAGGUUGUAACUUUUCACUCUUAGCAGAUUUCAAGUUUAGAAAAUGAGUCAGAUAUUUAUUUAUGGUUACCUCUUAAAUAUUCAUGAGAUGUUUCUGCAUUGUGCUUUCAGCUGCAUCCCGUGCUGUCCCAUUGUCAUCGGUGUCCAGGCCAUCAUUAACCCAGACAAUGGACAACUGCCAUAGCUGACAAACAUUAGACCUUGCUUCUUUUGCAGGAUCACAUCAUCCACUCCUCUUCCUUUCUCAUGUCCUAAAGCUUUAACCCCUUCUUUGUGUCAGUACUCACAUCACUCGAUACUAUAACACAGGUAUAUUAAACAUAUGAAUGAUUUAACAUAGGAGGUAAACCUUCAUCUAACAUUAGCAGAAAAACAAAACAGUGUUUAUUACAUCUGUGGGUGUAUUCUAAAUUAUUACAGGGUAAUUAACUAAGAAAUAUAGGGGAUAUCUAAGGUACAUUGCAUUACAGUGCCUUGACAGAGAUGCUUAACUUUGUUAAAAGCUGUUCUCAAAACUGCUUUGAGGAAAAUAACAGUUCUCCCAAAUCUUAUAAAAUCUGAGCUCAUGCUGCACAAAACAGAGAUUUGCUUGACUGGACUCUGCAGAAAUCUGCAAGUAAGUAGAUAUGCUGCAUUAUUCCAAAUCCACCCAAUGUUAUCCCGCUCAGAGCUAUCACCUAUUCAAGAAGACAAAGGCGUUACCAGAGAUGACAAAGUCAGGGACAGUCAGCAGAAAGUGGCCUGUUUGUGUCUCCACCACCUCUGCCUGCCUGGUCUACACUGCAGCAGCCGCCACCGUCCGCAGCGUUUGAGCCCCUCAGGGCUAUUCAGUUAAAGACAAGCCAAACUGGCACAGGGAUGUCCUUGGCAAUUGGGUGAGAGAGUUCAAAAUGGUUAAAAUUAACUUUGCCUCACCUCUCCUCAGGUGGCAAGAAGGAAAGCCUUGCCACAGAAUUGGAUUGCUUCUUUACUUUCCAUGCAUGAAAAUCCUGCUAUGUUUUGGCAAAAUCUUAACAACAAAUCCAGCAUAAUGGAAGGAGUUUGUAGGGAAACUCCCCUUCUUUGUCUACUCAGGUUAUUUCUCUCCUGUUUUUCUGUCUCAUCCAUCUCCCUUUUAUAUUACUUAGACCAUUCUCAUCCUCCCCACCUUUCUUUGUAGCCUGUUUGGAAAAACAGGGUGUUUUCUUAGGAACUCUAAUCUAAAAGCCUUUUAACUGUUAAAGAUUAACCAUUAAAGCAUCUGUGGAAAAGCAUACAUUUCCCUGACACUUGACUCCAGCUCGCCGCAUUCUGAAACUCAGCUAUUGGUAAUGCUUCAACAGCUUGUUCACGGUUAACAGGUUGAUAGGAAGACAAGCUCAGAUCCUAUGUGGAAAAUACACAAAUGCAGGUUAAUAUCGUAUGCCUGGGUGGGGGGCCACAAACGCCUCUAACUGAGAGCAAGCAAGUGUAAGAACCUGUCUUUCAGUGGCACAAUUUGGGGGAGAUUUUGAUUUUGAGAGUGGCUUGGGCACUUUCAGAGUUGGAGCGAGGAGGGCUGUGCACAUGCCUAUGCACAGAGGAAGAAGGGUGAAUGCAGCAAAUCAGGCCCAGGUGGGGGACAUCAAACAAAAAAAGGAUGUUUAGAGAGGAUGAUGUGCAUGUGCAGCUGGAAAAGCAAAGCUCUGAAUUUACUGUUUCAGAGCACACAACAUGCUUCAGAUAAGAAAACUCACUGCUAUGGCACUGGUAGGAGUUUUCCAAAAGGUAUGUACACUCAUGUUGAAUUUGGGGGCCAAACAUGGUCUAAAUGCUCAAAACUCAACAACUUCACUCGGAUUUCCCUACAAGAUUAACCGAUGUUUGGAUCUUCCCUUUAAACAAGGUGAUCAAAAGCAGUUUCCAGUUGUCAGUGAGAUAUUUCCUACACAGCAUUUUGCAUAGUCCCUUUUUAGUGAUAUUGGAAUAUUUGUUUCUACCUCGCCAUAAAAUCAUGGUAGAAGCCAUUUCACCAUUUAGACUGAAUUAGCUAAACUCUUUUUAAAGAAAGACUGUAAGGCAGACUAGACUUUGAAAUUUGUUUUGUUUUAGGAAUUUCAGUGAAAUUUCAAAUGGCUUUUCAAUUUCUACCUUAAAAAUAAAAGUAAUUAGUUUUAUUAUAAAUUCAUUUGUGAUUUGGAAGCAUCUAGAUCCUCUAGCAGAAUCAAAGACUGAACAUCCUAGGACAAGAACUAAUGCAACAGUCAACCAAAAAGAGAGUGGGAGAAAGGGAAUGAUGUUGGCUUUUCUCAAUUAUUUAUUUUUUAUUGGGUUUUUGUUGUUGUUAUUAUUACAUUAACUGGUAGUAUGUAGGAUGAUUUACUUCAGUAUCCUCUGCAAUUUGCAGAAUUGUAGACCAGAAAGAUUAGGGGGCAUGUCCUGAUAAAGAGCACUAAUUCCUAUAUGGCUUCGUAUAUGAAAAUACUGCCACCAGAAGAAACAAAGAUGCUUGGACGUAACUUCUUUUUCCUCAUCUUCAAUAUAUGACGAAGAGACAAGAUGCUUUAAAAAUGGUAAGAGAGAAUAGUAAGCCAUAGUAAGUAAUUCAGUCCUUUCUUUGUGUCACAAUGACAUUAUAUCUGCUGAGAGAGAUUGCAGCUGCAUUCAUAUGUAUGAGCUUGUGUAGCCUUUGAGAUUUUUUAUGUAUGUAGAACUCAUUAUAAACAAUUGUCACCAAGAUCAAGCCAAGAGCAGCCUGGAAGACAAGAGCCUGAAAUGUCUCUGAAAACCUUGACAUAAGUUUAAAUUUCCAUUCUGUCCUCUUACUGCAUCUCUCAGUAGAAAAGGCGAGCACAAUAAAUAUAAUAGCGGUUUACCUCAACCACAGUAAGUCUCUGGAGAAGACAGUAGUUGUCAGGAAGGAAAAAGACUGGGGAGAAAGUUUCAGAGUAUUCUUUAGAAAUACUUGAGAAGCCAUGUUAGAAUCAGAAUAAAAGACCGGCAGGCUCAGUUAAUAGUUUUCUACUAUUCAGUGGUUAAGCUUUGAAGAGAAACUAUUGGCUUCUAAGAAUACAGAAUUCUUCCUAUGCUCUGUCUAAAAAUCAUCAUUUUAUGUGUUUGUGGGUGUCACAGGCACAGAGAAAACAGUACCUCAGGUGCAAACCUGGUCUAUGAAUGUAGGUCUUGCAAACUUCGCUGAAGAUUUAGGCCCAAGAAUUUCUUCAGCUGAAGAACAUCAGACUAUGUAUUAUUCCAUUGUAACAUGCUGUAAACUAAUGCAGAAGUAACAAUUCAUGGAAGAGUAACAACCAAGGAAGUGUAAGCUUUUUUUUGAAACACUGGGAUUUUUAAAUAAGAUUCAACACACUGUAAAGAGUUGCAUUAAUCUCAGCCAGUCUCUGUUUGAGCUGUUCUUAUAACUCAUUACUUUGCCUGUGGCUACUCUAGAGUAAGUGUAAAGGCAUGUCAAAAUGGGUGGAGAUAGGAAAACAAGUACACUUAAAAGGAUUUUUUCUCAGCUCCCACCUAAGAUUCAAAUAAUGCUCUGCCAUCUGAUAGGAAGCCACAUUCCCACUUCCACCUUUUACUCUUGACCUAUUUAAAUUCUCAGCCCCAACCAUAAAGAAAUAGGAGGAGUGAAAGAAUGACAGCACCUACUACGAAGCGUGCUGUUAAGACAUAAUGCUGUUUCAUGCAGUUGCCUAAUAUGUUCCCAGAUGCAGUUGUUGAAGAUGACAGGAGUCUGCCUGGGAGAGUGUCCUCAGUGGGACUACAGGCUCCGGAUAUACCCUGUAGCAACAACAUACCCUGUUGCAUUUAAAGUCUCUCACUGGCAAGUCUAAUUUCUCAGCUAGAAUAGGAAGAUAGUGACAGUGAUCUUUUUUGCAAGAAACCAUUUGGUUCACUGAGUUCAGACUAAAAGUUUCACUAGUUUUGUUUGGUGGGUUUUUCCCCACCUUCCUUCCAUACUGGCCUUAGACUCCUUCACAGAACAUUUCAGGUUUCAUGGCAGAUUCUCCAAGACAGAAUGUGUUUUUCCAGUCACAUUACUAUUCAUAUCUUUAAGCCUUGCCUUGAGACUCGCUGAUAGCUCUGCUGCCCUCCUUUAAAAAUGUAAAGAAGGCAUUUUUAUCUGCAAAAACUCAUUGUUCUGAACUGUUGCAAGUGACAUUUAUGGUGAGUAGUACUAAAGGAAUUUCAAGCACUUCAUAAAAAAAUCAGACUGUUCAGCACAUCACUGUAAGCACAUCAUAUCUGUAUCAGCAGUAGUGCUGCUUGUUAGUAGUGUCUACCCAAAAGACACUCUCAUGGCUGCCUGGAAGAUCAAGGGAAGUUUGGCAAUGAAAAUGCAUCUGUGUUGGCCUGCAAAGGGGUGCGCAGGGGUUUUUCCAUGACACACUAAUAAAGCCAGGCCAGUAAAAUCCCCCAAAAGGAGGCAAUGCCUAGCCCAAUAACAGCCCAAGCAACUGUUCAAUAACCUCAUGGGGUCAGCUUCUCUCCUCCCUCCCUCACUCCUGCCGUGGUGCCAAUUAAGUACAGCUCAGCUUUGUCAGGCUCAGCAGUUUGAAGAGUGUUUACUCAGCCCUCAAGGAAGCUUUAGUUACUUGCUCUGAGUUUGCUGUUCCUGUGGUUGUGCUACUACAGACACUUGAGCUAGAAAGAAUAAAAGGAGUUCAGGUAUGUUUAUGUGAACUGUUGUGAUAGUAAUGUAAGUGUGUGUCCUUUAAAACGAGAACAUUAAUCACAAUGGGAAGGCAUGUGUUGUCUUGCUGGUGCAUGGUGCUGGCUCCGGUACUUCCUGUGAAAAUGCCAAGACUUGAUUGUAAAGGUUAAAGAAAAGAGGGAUACAACAAGUAAUGCUUUGAAUAAAAGUUUCUUUUAUAUUCUAACACUGCUGCCUUCAUCAUGGAGGAAAAGAUAGUGAUGUGUAUGCAUGUCUGUGCUAGCUGGUCAGGAGCAUGUAGAAAGGAUCAGAAUUUUUUGUUUGCAGAGGGCUAGGGAUAGACUCAAGUAAGUGAAUGCGAACUGUUGAGCACAGCUUAGCUAUUUGCACAUGGGAUUUUAUUUUCACUUUGUUUUGUUGAAACCUUAAGCCUUAAGAUUGUGGGCUCUCUGCUACCUGUUGGAGAGAGAGUAAAAGGUACCAAAGAGAGAAGAUGCAAGAACGGAGUAUAUUCUUGAUGCCUACUUUCAUGGCAUGAACUUGUCGGCUGAGAGGAAGAGGAAGACCAUGGGCAGAACUGAUCAAGAAAGGGUUUGAGGGUAAAGUUGUUUGUGUAACAACACUUUGAGUUGCAAUCUGCAUCAUCCGCUCCAGGCAGAGCACUGAAAGGACCAGCCUAGUGUAACAGAGCUGUGCUCUUCCAGGCUUUUGCACUGGGCAGAUAGAUAGCUGAACGGAGAGGCUCAGUGCAUCGACUGCUGCACUUCUUACCGGGAAAUUGUGAUUUGCUGCAGCUUCAGGGUUAGGUGUUUAAAUUAAGAAAUACCAGAACUAGUUAUUCAUUCAACUCUUACUGCUCUUUCUUAUGCCUAUGCAGGAUGAUGGUUUAUCACUUAAUAUUACUUUCAGCCAUUCUUCUGGAUCAAAAUAUACAAUAACUCCAACUCUUGGCAAAUUUUUGCUGAUAAUUAUUACAGAGUUUAUGAAAAUUGUCUGAACAAAUGAACUUGCUCCAAAUUCUCACUGACAUAACUAAGAUGGGGAUCCACCAUGCAGGGAAAGCUCUCAAUAAGCAGAAAACUAAGGCUUGUUCAGCUGCUUUACUCUCUCAGCAUUCUUCUUCUUCAGGGUGCAGCAUAUAGCCAGCAUUUAGGGUCUUCAUGGUUUUGGUUUUCUUUAGAAGGAAACUCUUGAGACAACUGGAUAUAUUCUGUGGUAGAACGCUGUUUCCUUAAAAACAAUGUUUCCCCCAAAUAAUAGGGGAAAAAGAUCAAGCUGACAGCCUCCUUCUUCAGAAAUCCAAGCCUGAUUUCUGCAAGGAUAGUGUCUCCGUAAGAAAUUGUUUCCUAGCUUACUCCGAAAGUUGCGUUUGUACACAUUUCCCUUAUUUCCUAUCUCUCUUGCACAGUUUCAGAUCAUUAUUUCUAGGGACUGGAAGAUUGUAACCUGUCCUAGGAAAAAAUAUCUUUAAGAUGCUGCAGGUUAGUCCUUGUAAAAUCUUACCAUGCAGCUAUUUGAUUUAACCGCUUUGAUCAGUGUCUGCCUCACUCCAAAGAGAAGCAUAAAUGGCCUUUCUACUGAGAGUGGCAGACAGUGCUUUCUCACUCUUCCAAUUAAAACAGAUCUGUGACUCUCCAGCGUUUUCCUCGUGACUGCCACCACUACUUUGCAGCACACCUGCAGCAUCUGAACAUGCACUGUGAGGCUGCAAGUGAGAUGGGCUUUUGUGACUCUAAUAGGUUAUGGAUGUAACUGCAGACCUGCACAGUACAUCCUUUCAUAAAGGAAAGCCAUUGGGUGUCCACAUUUCUCUAUAUAGAAGCAUGAUAACGGAAGAUGUCAUUACUAGCUUUUGCAAAUAUUUCGGGGAAAAAAAAAAGUGAAGAAUCUUUUUGCUGUUGAUUUGAGUGGUUUUUUUGUUUUGUUUUCUAGGUUUUGUCAUUUGUUCUUUUUGCUUAAUUUCAAAAGCCUAAUUUAAAAUACUUGAUCUGUGGUAGUACUGUGGGUAUGAGAGACCAUUAUUGAAUGUAAUAUAGAUUUCUGUUUGAUUGAUUAGUAAUUCGCUUAGGAGAUUUCUUUUCCAGGAAUCAUUGUCUCACAGGUCUUAUAUUGCCAGUGAAGAGGCUCAGUUUCAAAACCAACCUGUUAUUGUGUGUAACCUAGCUAUGACAACACAGUACGAACUACAAAGGCUCCUCCAUCAUGCCGCAAGAUUCAAAAUUUGUUGAAAUUCCCAGCCUAUUCUUCUUAGCAUCUUAUCUAAAAAUUAAUCUAAAUUAGCAAGUUCUUACACUUAAUCAGUUGGUUUCAUCUGAAUUUAUUGGAGCCCUUAUUAGGAAAGUGGCAGUACUUAUUUUAACCCAUUUGAAACAUAUCUUGCCUACAGCUCCUUUUCUGAGUGUUUUGAAAAGCAUGUCUGCCGAAGGCUGUUUUUCCAUGGUUUACAUUUCCUUGAGCAUGAGUGGGUAUCUUCAGUUUCAGAGUAACUUAUUAAUCUGUGGCCUGUGUAUCAAGCACAGGUGACAUUACUGUCACGGGGAGAACGGGGACAAAGAUAGCCUGAUUUGUCUGAAAUCAGAUGGGAAACCCAAGCAGGGAAAGCUGUAAAGUAUUCACAGAAAUGGUGUGGCAUACCUCUUUCCCUUUUGCUAAUCUAUUUCUUUCUUUUUGUUUUCCUGCUCUUCUUCCCAAUCCCAUCUUCAGAAAGUUUUAUAAAAAUUAAAAAAAAAAAAAGGAAAAGAAAAAAUCCACGAAAGACUUAGGUUUCCACAAUGCAUUGUUAAGUACGUGUAGUGUGACCAAAAAUCAAUUUUGGAAAGUAAUUUCUUGGUACAGUUUUAUUGUAGUUUUGCAUCCUAUGAGUACUGGCAUAUCUGUCAAGGCAGAAUGGACUGUGGAUUUAUUGUAAUUAAUGGUAAAGCUCCCUUUUCUGGUCCUUUGUUUUUGUUCACAUCUCAGAGAUCGACAGAGAAAGGAAAGAGAAGCUGCUUUGCUGUUAGCAAGGCUCUGCAAUUUAGUAGCAUUCACGGGAAUUCUUGUGGACAUUGGCAUGAGAAAUAUGAGAAGAAACAGGAGAAAAAAAUAGAUGGUUGGUUUCUGAAGAGAGGGAGGUGGGUUUUCAAUGGCUUCCUCAAAAGUUUUGUAUAUCUCCAUUUCUCACUGUGAUAGUUGCCUGAGCCUUGGCUGUCUGAGUAUGAAACAAAUGAAACAACUGAAGGGCUCUGGACUGAGGGUCUGUUCUCACUCCUUAACACAGGUGUACCACCUUUUCAAUGCAUUCUCACAGUAAAAAUGUCUGGAAACUGGCAAAAUUAGUUGGAGCUCUUGCAUGGACACUGAACAUAGCAAAGAGAACACUCUUUGACAGGCAUCCCUGUCCCUUCUGUUCCAGGAACACAGCAGCCCAUGAACUCCCAGAGCAUGGUCUUUUCACUAGUGAGGGAAUAGGAAAUUAUGUGAGAGAUACAGCUGUUUGCACAUCUCCGUGUCAUCACAUGCUGCCUGGAUAAAGCAGCUGUCCCUUUUGUGUUCAGACAAAAUGCCAUCAGCAGCUAUUCUAGCUCACACCUGAGAAAGAUCUUGCUCUUAUCCUUGCAGAUGUUGCGCAGGACAUGGCAUGCUGUGGUGACAUGUACAGCUAAUUCUUCACUAGCACCGAAGAGUUUCCCUAGGCUAUACUGGUUUAUCUUCAGCUUGCCUAAUUAACUCACUUGCUUCUAACAGCACAAAACAAACUUUAGAUCAGAUAAUAAUCCUCACUGAUUACUCUGAUUUAGAGGCGGUGUAGUUUGUACUAACAGCUUAUUGUUAUUGAUCUUCCCAGAGCUCUACAUCCUUCUGGUGUAUUUCACGAUGACGUUCCUGCACCUGCCAAUUUGGCCAGCUAAAGCCGAUCAAGCACAGUGCAGGUAUUCUGCAGAGUUAGCAUUCACUUCUUUGUUGAUUUUGUUUGGUUGGGGUGUUUUUCAUGAUACAUGUUAGAAUGCUUUUGCAGUCGUGGAGCACUGCUCUCUAAAGGGAACUUAUUUUUCCAGACAUGUUUAUGCACCCAGCUCAUGUGUGAUUAUGGCAUAAUGUUGUGGCCCAGGCACAAGAAAUGGACCACACAACCCUCCAGCAUCCUGAGAAGAUUACUGCUUUCUUUAGCUUCGUCUGUGUGAGCUCCUACAGAAAACAUUUGCUCCCAUCACUGUCAAUAACAUAUACAGGUAAAAUUUGACUUAUGAAUGAUUUAGUGAUAAAUUUUGUACAACAGAGCAGUUGGUAGAUACCAUCUAAAUUAAAGUUCUCAGCUGUGAAAAGCUGUAAGAUGUCGUGGGCUCCAGAACAGCCACUGUCUGCAGUAUCAUAGAACGUGCUUUGAGUGUUCAUUCACUGGUUAUCCACACUGCACAACAAGUAUUUAAAUCUUCACAUUUAUAUAUUUUUCAACUGGAGAUUAUAUUCACAGUGUUAGUGAGGUUGGCUCUUUUUUUCACAUAUUGUUUUCAGAGAUGGGACAGAUUAAAAUAAAAAAUCUGGUGAUGCAAGGUUAUGGAUUUUGGGAAUAGGCUGGCCAAGUAUGUUGGCUUUGGUUUUCUCCUUAUGUUCAGUAAGGCUUCUUUGCCUGACUGCAAUGUACUUUUUGCAGGUGAUUUACUUCUCCUUCCUGGUAUAGAUUGAGUUGCAGCCUGCAUUUAAGCAGUACACUCUGAAGAGUUGUGUCACUACCAGGUUUCAUUUGAGAAGCACAGUGUGUAUGUAAUAAACUGUAUUAUAAAAUGUGUGUGUGUGUGUAUGCAUUAUAAGUACAUUUAUAUAUACAGUAUGUUAUGUAUGUCUAUAUAAUGUGUAUGUACUAUAAUAAUAAUAAAAUAAUAAAAUAUAAUACAUAAUAA
Molecule: long non-coding RNA, 10212 nt
Organism: Harpia harpyja (harpy eagle)
Lineage: Eukaryota; Metazoa; Chordata; Aves; Accipitriformes; Accipitridae
Exons: 2
Source: RefSeq, a predicted model, not a curated record